GAUGGUGUGACAGAGAAGAGAAAGGAGUUGGGGGGAAAGGGAGGAGUGGCCGGAAGUUGUGGAGUGGAGUUCUGGGAAAGAAGACCAUGGUUUUUCUCGAAGUAAUUUGGGAAAAAAACAUUGGUUCUUUCCUAGUCCUGCCAUUCCUUGAUUUCCUGUCAUGCAUC
Molecule: microRNA precursor, 167 nt
Filed under: Fragaria vesca subsp. vesca
Lineage: Eukaryota; Viridiplantae; Streptophyta; Magnoliopsida; Rosales; Rosaceae
Description: Fragaria vesca miR482b stem-loop (fve-MIR482b)
Gene: fve-MIR482b
Source: miRBase by way of RNAcentral